Molecule: ribosomal RNA, 300 nt
Filed under: uncultured Thermoleophilum sp.
Lineage: Bacteria; Bacillati; Actinomycetota; Thermoleophilia; Thermoleophilales; Thermoleophilaceae
Description: bacterial SSU rRNA
Rfam family: Bacterial small subunit ribosomal RNA (bases 60-300)
Source: RNAcentral
GGCAAGUGGGGGCGAUGGGCCGUGGUAAUACAGGGCUGGGAAGCGGUAAUCGGGAUGGGUGGGAGGAAAGCGUGCGCAGACGGUCUCGGAAGGCGGGUGUGAAAGCCCCGGGCUGAACCUGGGAAUUGCAUUCGAAACUGCGAGGCUAGGGUACGGAAGAGGGAAGCGGAAUUUCUGGUGUAGCGGUGAAAUGCGUAGAUAUCAGAAGGAACAUCAGUGGCGAAAGCGGCUUCCUGGUCCAGUACCGACGUUCAGGCACGAAAGCGUGGGGAGCAAACAGGAUUAGAUACUCCAGUAGUC